AGGAAAGUAAAAAAGGGCGCAUGGCGGAUGCCUUGGCUCUCGGAGGCGAUGAAGGACGUGAUAAGCUGCGAUAAGCUUUGGGGAGGUGCAAAUGACCUUUGAUCCAGAGAUUUCCGAAUGGGACAACCCAAUAUCUUGAAGAGGUAUUAUCCAACGUUGUUGGAGGCUAACGCAGGGAACUGAAACAUCUUAGUACCUGCAGGAAAAGAAAAUAAACAAUGAUUCCCCCAGUAGUGGCGAGCGAACGGGGAACAGCCCAAACCAUCCAUGUUACGGCAUGGGUGGGGUUGUAGGACUACGCCGUUGCAUGAAGACAUCAGAGAAGAACUUUCUGGAAAGAAAGACCAUAGAGCAUGACAGUUGCGUAUUCGAAUGUUGUCGAAGCAUAGUAGUAUCCUGAGUAGCGCGGAGCACGAGGAAUUCUGCGUGAAUCUGCCGGGACCAUCCGGUAAGGCUAAAUACUCCCGAGAGACCGAUAGCGAACCAGUACCGUGAGGGAAAGGUGAAAAGCACUUCGAACAGAAGAGUGAAAUAGUUCCUGAAACCGUGCGCCUACAAGCGGUCGGAGCUCGUUAAUGAGUGACGGCGUGCCUUUUGCAUAAUGAACCUACGAGUUGCCUUUGCCGGCAAGGUUAAGUGUGACGACACACGUAUCCGAAGCGAAAGCGAGUCUGAAGAGGGCGUAUAGUCGGCAGUGGCAGACGCGAAACCAAGUGAUCUACCCUUGGCCAGGUUGAAGGCUGGGUAACACCAGCUGGAGGACCGCACCAAUAAGCGUUGAAAAGCUUCUGGAUGAGCUGAGGGUAGGGGUGAAAGGCUAAUCAAACUUGGAGAUAGCUCGUACUCCCCGAAAUGCAUUUAGGUGCAGCCUUGCGGGUUACUGAUGUGAGGUAGAGCGACUGAUAAGAUGCGAGGGCUUCACCGCCUAUCAAGUCUUGACAAACUCCGAAUGCGCAUCAGUUCUACCGCAGGAGUGAGGGCAUGGGUGCUAAGGUCCGUGCCCGAGAGGAGAAGAAUCCGGACCACCUGCUAAGGUCCCGAAAUGACAGCUAAGUUAAACUAACGAAGUCUGACUGCUAAGACAGCUAGGAUGUUGGCUUGGAAGCAGCCAUUCAUUUAAAGAGUGCGUAACAGCUCACUAGUCGAGGAGUCGGGCGUGGAUAAUAAUCGGGUAUCAAGUUGUCUACCGAAGCAGUGGGAUCAUUUAUAUGAUCGGUAGGGGAGCAUUCCAGUCAGCGUCGAAGGCGUACCGUGAGGUAUUCUGGAGCGUCUGGAAAAGCAAAUGUAGGUAUAAGUAACGAUAAAGGGGGCGGGAAACCCCCUCGCCGAAAGACUAAGGUUUCCUGAUCAACGCUAAUCGGAUCAGGGUCAGUCGGGUCCUAAGGCUCAGCCGAACGGCGAUGCCGAUGGCAGAAACGGUUAAUAUUCCGUUACUACCUUCAGGAGUGACGUGGAGACGCAGUAGUGACAGUGCCGCCAUCUGACGGAAUAGAUGGUUGAAGGGUGUAGGAGUCGAUCAUGGCAGGCAAAUCCACCAUGAGAUCCGAACCUGACAGUAUGCCGCGUCCUUCGGGACAAGGCAAUAGUGCGCGUAAGCAUGCUGCCGAGAAAAUCCGCUAAACUUAAUCCUGUAGGUACCCGUACCGCAAACGGACACACGUAGUCGGGAUGAAUAUUCUAAGGCGCUUGAGUGAUUCACGGUUAAGGAACUAGGCAAACUGACCCUGUAACUUCGGGAUAAAGGGUCCCUACCCUUUUAUGGGAGGGCGCAGAGAAUCGGUCCAGGCAACUGUUUAACAAAAACACAGGGCUGUGCCAAAUCGAAAGAUCCAGUAUACAGCCUGACACCUGCCCGGUGCUGGAAGGUUAAGAGGAGAUGUCAUCGAUAAGAGAAGCGUUGAAUUGAAGCCCCAGUAAACGGCGGCCGUAACUAUAACGGUCCUAAGGUAGCGAAAUUCCUUGUCGGGUAAGUUCCGACC
This 1979-nucleotide ribosomal RNA is filed under the name Phocaeicola vulgatus. Its description in RNAcentral is "partial 23S ribosomal RNA". It matches the Rfam family "Bacterial large subunit ribosomal RNA", at positions 1 to 1988 of the family's 2925-position model. Lineage: Bacteria; Pseudomonadati; Bacteroidota; Bacteroidia; Bacteroidales; Bacteroidaceae. The record is from RNAcentral.